GAUGAACGCUGGCGGCGUGCCUAAUACAUGCAAGUCGAGCGAACAGACGAGGAGCUUGCUCCUCUGACGUUAGCGGCGGACGGGUGAGUAACACGUGGAUAACCUACCUAUAAGACUGGGAUAACUUCGGGAAACCGGAGCUAAUACCGGAUAAUAUAUUGAACCGCAUGGUUCGAUAGUGAAAGACGGUUUUGCUGUCACUUAUAGAUGGAUCCGCGCCGCAUUAGCUAGUUGGUAAGGUAACGGCUUACCAAGGCAACGAUGCGUAGCCGACCUGAGAGGGUGAUCGGCCACACUGGAGCUGAGACACGGUCCAGACUCCUACGGGAGGCAGCAGUAGGGAACCUUCCGCAAUGGGCGAAAGCCUGACGGAGCAACGCCGCGUGAGUGAUGAAGGUCUUCGGAUCGUAAAACUCUGUUAUUAGGGAAGAACAAAUGUGUAAGUAACUAUGCACGUCUUGACGGUACCUAAUCAGAAAGCCACGGCUAACUACGUG
Molecule: ribosomal RNA, 497 nt
Filed under: uncultured bacterium
Lineage: Bacteria
Description: partial 16S ribosomal RNA
Rfam family: Bacterial small subunit ribosomal RNA
Source: RNAcentral